This 27-nucleotide non-coding RNA is filed under the name Mus musculus (house mouse). Lineage: Eukaryota; Metazoa; Chordata; Mammalia; Rodentia; Muridae. The record is from RNAcentral.
CNCCAGGCACAAGAAAGGGCAGAUGGG